RNAcentral lists this small RNA (2155 nucleotides) under Caenorhabditis elegans. Its description in RNAcentral is "Unclassified non-coding RNA K03H4.11". Lineage: Eukaryota; Metazoa; Nematoda; Chromadorea; Rhabditida; Rhabditidae. The record is from RNAcentral.
GUUCGCCUCCGUAAACGUGGAGAUACGUCCCGUCGAGAUGCAGUGGAAGCUGGAUUCGAACCGAGAGAUACUGUUCCACGAUGUCAUUCAACACAGUCGUUGAGAGAUGUUCAACGUGUUCGAUCAUACAACAAUUCACAGUUUCAGGUAAUAUAUUAAAUUUUAUUCCGAAGUUACUUCUUCUGGGUCCAAAAAAUAAUUAUUAACCAAAAAACAUUUAAAAAAAUGGUUUUGAUUUUGGGUCAAAGUACGAUAAAUUAAAAUUUUCAAAAAACCAAAAAAUGUAAUGGUUGAAUUUAUUUUUGUAAAACCAUGAAAAGUGCAAUUUGUCUCCGUUUUGUUUUGAGAUCUAAAAACAAAAAAAAAACAAUUUCUCACCGAAAUACUAACAAAAAAAAACAAAAAUCCGAAAAAAAAAUCCCAGCCCUGAUAUGUAUUUUACGGACACAUUUUGUUGAAAUGCAGUAAAUUCGAUGCGAAUCUCGAAAAAAAAUGUGGAUAUUGAUUUUUGAAAAUAAUUUUUCUGGCCUUAUUUAUCGCUGAUUCUGUUAUUUUCGAAUUCUUGUUGGACGGAAAGAUAUCUCGAGAGAUCAUGUGUUUACAGCAUUUUAACUAUGGGAUUUACGAAAAAAAAAACAAUUUUGAGCCAACUUCCUAUUUAUUUUUCAAGCAUUUCAAUUUAGAUUUGACCUUUCAAAUUUUUGCCGAAAUUUACUUCAAAAAAUAACCUAAUUGUUUUUUUCCUACGUUGUGAAUGAUGAGUAGCAAAACCCGUUAGAUGUCGGGCCAUGCGUAACGAGUCAUAGGAAUGCCGAUCAAAAACAUUCUCUCAUCGUUUUUUUUCUUUUUUAUUUCUAAAAAACCAAAAAUCUAUUUUUCAAAAAAUACCAAAACAAUCAAAAGAGAAUGUUUAAAAAUAAAUUUGUUCUUUUAUUUUGAAUCUUCAGCAAUUUUACAUUUAUCAAGUUCAAAAUUUUAUUUAUAAAACCCAAAAACUAUUUCCUAUUGUAUUGAUUUUUCAAAUAGAAGUAGUGAAUAUAUUUUUCUCCCAAUUCAUAAAAAUGUGAAGACUUGGAUAUUUGAUUCUGAAAAUUUAAUCUUUACAAUAAUUCGACAGUUUGUUGCUUGCUGAAUGUUUCCCGCCCUCUUGUUUUGAGUAAAAAAUAUAAAUUGAAUGUUCUCAGGCCAGUGAUCUUUCACUCAAUCCAAAUGGAAGUAUUCGUGCUGCUUGUGACAGUACAAGUGGAUCUGUCGCCCCAACAGCAGUUGUAAAUCCUGCCCGGAAUCAUGUCAUUUCACAUCGACAACAACAUCAUACAAGCUACGAGAAGGAUCUUAUUCCCCAUCAUAACAUUGAUGUGGAUCGUCGCCGUAGUUUGCAAGCUCUCAAUGGCUGUAAGUUUUCAUUUUUUAUAUCAAUUUGUUGUAGGAUACUGUGAGCGCCGACAGUUUAGUGAUAAAGUUGAGUUUUCUCUGAGUGGACGAAACGAAACGAAAUAGAAACAUUGAGCAAGACCACAGAUAGUGAGGAAAACUGGAGGUUUUGUGUGAAUCGCGACCACCGAUUGAAUUGAAUUGAAGUGAGCACACACACACACACCCAGCACACGUACAAACAUACAGACCCGUUGACGGCACACGUCCGUAUAUUUCCAUCUCUGUCGUUUUGGUGUGGUUUAUCAGCUUAUUUGACUAUCACCUAUUCUAGAGAAAGUGAGAAAAGAAAGAGUUUUGUUUGUGUGUUGAAAUUGAGUGAGUGAGGGUAUGCACUAGAUUUCAAGUACUCACUAUCUUCCUGCUCCUUCCAACUUCAUUUUCGUUUUACGUGUGGCUAUCACAAGUAACGGAGUGUCACGAUGCAAUCAAUUAGAGAACCGCGAAGUGUCGAGCUUAGAGAAAGCAAUAAAUUUAUGCGAUCAAUUUCACAUGGUCGUGCGAGUACCUGGCGACGAAAUCGAAUUAGACCGGACAAUCAGCUUUCAGCAUCUGCUCUCUAUCAACUAAAUAAUGGCGGUUCACCGAAUGGAGUGAGAUCUCAAUUUUCACCUUCGGAUCUUUCUAUCCAUACACCAGUUCAUCAUGUUGGAAGUCGAGUUCGAGUGUCCAGUGUCAACCAGAUUUGCGAUUCGAACAGUGCUCCACAAUUCAGUAUCGA